Molecule: long non-coding RNA, 1325 nt
Filed under: Macaca fascicularis (crab-eating macaque)
Lineage: Eukaryota; Metazoa; Chordata; Mammalia; Primates; Cercopithecidae
Description: lncRNA (ENSMFAG00000053909.1)
Source: RNAcentral
CUAAUAUAGUUCUUGGAGGCUUCAGGCCCCAGCUGGGAUGCCUCACAAAGCGAAUCUGGGGUAGAUUUUCAAUAAACUCCUCACUUAUCUCCUGCUGCAGCCAAGCCCCCAGGACCCCAUCUCCUUGGAGGAGCCAAGUGGGGUGGCUGCAGCCUCUGCAAGCAAGCUGACUCCUUUGGGGCAUAAUUCACCCUUUCUCAUAGCCUCUGUCCCCCGAGGCCAAGCCUACAGGGUCCAUCUCUGCAGAUUUUCUGCCCACGAGUUCCCUGGAGCACAGAGAACACUCCCAAGAGAGAGAGUCCUUGUCACACCACUCAUGAUCUCCCAGGCUGCUUCUCUCCAGUGCUUAGCACAUGGAGAUGCAUUCAUUUUUUUGUGAGCACAUUUAUUGACUGCGUGGCUCCCAUGCCAGCCUGGACACUCUGUGAGGCCAGGCUCUGCCUCUGGUUUCCCCACUCAGUCCCCAGCACCCAGCCUAGUCCUGGUGCAUAGGAGAUGCUUGCCACACAGCUGCUGUGUGGGUGGAUGGACGGAUGCAUGAAGAAUCCGUGGUGCGGAGCACAUGGGGAAGUGGCCUUUGUUCUUCCAUAUAGAACAGCAGAGGCGGGAAGACCAAGGAUCAGAAAUUCCAGAGGUGGGGAGGACGGUGGAAGUGGAUGCACCUGGGGGACCGUCUCAGAGGGGCUGGCCCACUCCUACUGUGCCAGAUCUGGAGGUGUGCCCCUGUCUGAACUCCAUCCUGCCUGCUGCCCAGCAACUCCCUGGCUUCCUCCCUGUCACAUGGGACUCCCGCACCCGGUGCUGUCCAGGGACCCCCCACACUCCACACCCUCCGGACCUCGCAGGACAUUUCCAGGUCUGGCCACAAGGUGGAGCGUGGCAGCUGCAGGACAGUGCUGGGGGCCGGGCUGCAGAGGAGCCUGGACCUGCGCCCGGUGACCUCCCCGCUCUGUGAACGUGUGGGAGUUUGUGUCUGUGCAUCCAGAGAACCAGAGGGCUGUGGUUGACUUGCCGUGCUCCCCCCAACCCCCCACUGGGAUUGCCUGGGUCUCUGGGGGAUCACUGAGAAGCUGGAUAAAGAGGGCUGGCACUGUUGCCUCGGCUCACUAAUGCCUCAUGGUUUUACAGGUGAGGAGACUGAGGCCCAGAGAAGGAAGUCACGUGCUGAGGUCACUGACUAAUCAGUGGCUGAUCUGGUCGAACCCAGAUCUCUUGAGCUGUAAGGUCUCUGCUUUUCCUGUGGCAUGGAGAGGGGCUUCUCCCACCUAGGGAGGGGAGAUCCUGUUGUACUAGGGAGGCAGGGGAUUAAAGAUGGACUGAGAGGU